Long non-coding RNA from Aegilops tauschii subsp. strangulata, 1167 nucleotides. RefSeq lists it as uncharacterized. NCBI's taxonomy places the organism in Eukaryota, Viridiplantae, Streptophyta, Magnoliopsida, Poales, Poaceae. The record is from RefSeq and is a predicted model, not a curated record.
UAACCCUACCCAACGUAAAAAUAGAUCUGUUAUGAUCUUAUCCCUAUGAUUCCUUUCCUCGAGCCCUCUACCUUGUUUUCCCCUUGUCCCGAAUACCGAUCCUGAUCUAUCUUCUUUCUGCGUAGGUGGUGGCGACUGGAGUCACGAUGUCCGCCGCCAAACACUGCCACGGGCGGGCCUGCAGCAGGCAAGCGACGUCGCCCGUAGUGACGGGACUGGUUGUGGGAGGAGCUGCUGACGAGAGACGCGCCGUCAGCUGCCCACCGUGGCAAGACCUACAGCAGGCCAGCGACGUCAUCGUCUACCGGGAGCCCGCGACUUCUCUAGGGAGGAGCUACAGUGGUUCAUUGGGGGAUCGAUCUGGCGAAGGAGAAGCUCGGGCCGUGUGGUUGCCGGAGCCAUGGCGGGAUGCAUCAUUAUCUACAACCUCGUGGAUUCACCUGAGUGAAAAGUGGGAUACUUUUCUAGGAGCCGAAGCUGCUGCGACGCCUGGUGUCUGCCGGCACCGGUGGUGCCAUCUUCGUCAGACUUGGAGGAUUUAGACCACCAUCUUUGGAUGCAUUCGCGGCAUCGCGGCCGCAUUUCAUACAGAGUCUGCAAGGCCUUGGAGGAGGCUCAAAUGAGUGGAUGCUUUUGGCUCGCCAAUUCUAAAUUACACACGCUCAUCAGCCAAGCCAUCCUUUUGGAUUUUGGUAGACAUAAUGGAGUAUAUUCAGUCACAUUUCCCGUAGCCAAAACAAGUACUCGAAGAAACAGUCAAUGUAGUGGUGCAAGAAGUGUGAGAACUUCAGUUUCUUAUAGCUGGACUGAUGGUGCACAGUAAUAUAGGAGCAUCAAGAGGCAUUGUUAUGGCUGAUGAAGAAUGAUCCAUUCAAAUAACAAUGGUGUCCCUCAAUCGAAGAUUAAUAAAUAUAAUGUUUUCUAGUUGUCUCGCUUUCCAGUUAGAUAUGAGCAAGUACGUGGUCAUACAAGGAGUGCUUUAUAAUUCCAGAAUUAUAUGUCAGAAUUUUGUUAACUUAUACGAUUUCUAUUAACGAAAGAGGCUAUGAUCUUUUUCAAUUCACAUUCUUUUGUUUUCAUAUUAAUGUGGAUGUUAAUAUUCAAAUGUUGGAUGGUGCAUAAUUUGAUCGUUGAAUGGAAAGUUAUACUAAAUAUAAUUGGUUCUGA